This 70-nucleotide transfer RNA is filed under the name Cordylochernes scorpioides. RNAcentral's name for it is "tRNA-Thr". The record is from RNAcentral. Lineage: Eukaryota; Metazoa; Arthropoda; Arachnida; Pseudoscorpiones; Chernetidae.
GAUGAACCUAGUGGACAUGGCAUCUGCCCGGUAAGCGGAACACUGUGGGUUCGAUUCCCAUCCCUGGACA